GAUGAACGCUAGCGGCAGGCCUAAUACAUGCAAGUCGAACGGGAUUGCGGUAGUAGCUUGCUACUACUGCAUGAGAGUGGCGCACGGGUGCGUAACGCGUGAGCAACCUACCCAUAUCAGGGGGAUAGCCCGGCGAAAGUCGGAUUAACACCGCAUAACAUCAACAGUUCGCAUGUUCAGUUGAUUAAAUAUUUAUAGGAUAUGGAUGGGCUCGCGUGACAUUAGCUAGUUGGUAGGGUAACGGCUUACCAAGGCAACGAUGUCUAGGGGCUCUGAGAGGAGAAUCCCCCACACUGGUACUGAGACACGGACCAGACUCCUACGGGAGGCAGCAGUAAGGAAUAUUGGCCAAUGGGCGCAAGCCUGAACCAGCCAUGCCGCGUGCAGGAGGACUGCCCUAUGGGUUGUAAACUGCUUUUAUCAGGGAAUAAACCCCUUUACGAGUAGAGGGUUGAAUGUACCUGAAGAAUAAGGAUCGGCUAACUCCGUG
This 490-nucleotide ribosomal RNA is filed under the name uncultured bacterium. RNAcentral's name for it is "partial 16S ribosomal RNA". It matches the Rfam family "Bacterial small subunit ribosomal RNA", at positions 28 to 507 of the family's 1533-position model. The record is from RNAcentral.